This is a long non-coding RNA of Rosa chinensis, 1108 nucleotides long. RefSeq lists it as uncharacterized. The transcript has 3 exons. The record is from RefSeq and is a predicted model, not a curated record. NCBI's taxonomy places the organism in Eukaryota, Viridiplantae, Streptophyta, Magnoliopsida, Rosales, Rosaceae.
UAAGACCAGAUGUUGUGGAUUAUAACUCAAUCUCCCACUUCCCAAUGCUAUAAUCUACAAGUUGCAAAAGUGACGCUUCUGAUUUCAGAAUCUGAGAGUAUUUAUUUGCUUUACCAAUAUUGCCCUCAUCUAAUUUGCUAUAUUACCUGAUAUCAUCAGUUUUUACACGCUCUCAACUCACAAACUUCAUUCUAGACUUUCAGAAAACUGAUCGACGUCAAACAGAGCUCUCGUUUCUCUCCAUUUACAUAUCUGCAACAAAUCACUCAUCACAAUCUUAUUUGGUAACUGAUUCGAGGAAGAGGGACUACUCUAUUGCAAUUAGAAGAAGGUUGUAUCUACUUCCUUAUAACCUAGCAAAGAUGGCAAACAAGAGUGGAAUACAGGAAAAAGGAAAGGCUACUUGGACUGAUCAUAAUGUAGAUGUCUUUUGUGACCUUUGUAUCAAGGAGAUUGAGAAAGGAAGUCGUCCAGGUACUCACCUCACACCAAAAGGUUAUGAAAAUUUGGGCAUUAACUUCGCUAAAGAGACGGGACUUCAAUAUACUAAAUCUCAAUUCAAAAAUAAGUGGGAUUUAUUAAGAGAUCAAUGGAAAUUGUGGAAAGAACUAAUUAGGAAGGAGACUGGUUUGGGGUGGAACCCCAAACUGAAAACUGUAGAUGCACCUGAUGAAUGGUGGUGUAGUAAAAUUUAGGUUUGUAAUUUUCUAGUGCAGUUUUUAAUGUGGCAUUUUGUUAAUUUACAAUGAACUUAUUUCAACAGUCAUCUUUUUUAAAAUGUAGGACAAUCCUGAAUAUGCCAAAUUGCGUAAAAAGGGAAUAAACCCUGAAUUGGAAGAGAAGCUAGAUAUGAUGUUCCAACAAGUUACUGCAAGUGGUGUUCAUGCUUGGGCACCAUCUUCUGGUGUACUUCCACCUGAUCAUAUAGAAGUUAACAAUGUUGCAGUUCCAUUAGAUAGCGAUGAUGAUUUGGCAUGUCCCAUUGAAGUCAUUGCCAGUUCUUUAGGUAAGAGGAAAAGGACACCAACAAAACAAGUUAAUGCAGGUACUGAGAAAAAUAAUAAAUCCAAAGGUAUAGGAUCAAGAAAGAUUGGAGGUGCAGCUAAGU